GAUGAAGAACGCAGCGAAAUGCGAUACGUAAUGUGAAUUGCAGAAUUCAGUGAAUCAUCGAAUCUUUGAACGCAUAUUGCGCUCUCUGGUAUUCCGGAGAGCAUGCUUGUUUGAGUAUCAGUAAACACCUCAACUUCCAUAUCUUUUUUUGAAAUGGGAGUUGGACUUGAGUGAUCCCAACGCUUUUCCUCACCGAAAAGUGGCGGGUCACUUGAAAUGCAGGUGCAGCUGGACUUUUCUCUGAGCUAUAAGCAUAUCUAUUUAGUCUGCCUAAAAAACAGAUUAUUACCUUUGCUGCAGCUAACAUAAAGGAGAUUAGUUCUUGUGCUGACUGAUGCAGGAUUCACAAAGACAGCUUCGGCCGACUUUGUAAACUCGAUCUCAAAUCAAGUAAGACUACCCGCUGAACUUAAGCAUAUCAAUAAGCGGAGGA
Molecule: unclassified non-coding RNA, 433 nt
Filed under: soil metagenome
Description: partial contains 5.8S ribosomal RNA, internal transcribed spacer 2, and large subunit ribosomal RNA
Rfam family: 5.8S ribosomal RNA (bases 1-120)
Source: RNAcentral